UAAUCCCUGAAAUUUCAAUUAUACUAGAAAUCAAGAUUCUUCAUUUUUACUCACGAAACUGACACUAAGUAUAUACCUCAUUAAGGACAAGAAGCUAUGAAUUCUCUGGACUUCAGUUAUCUCACAGAAAAGAGCUUGAUUGAAUAAUGUCUAAGGCUCUUCCUGACAUAGUCUAAAUAACAGAAGGUGUCUCACAAGAAAUGGAAGCAGUGAGAGAAAAAUGCAAUUAAAUCCUAGACUAGAAAGAAUCACAAUUUUCCCACUCACAGGUUGGAAAUGCCUCUCUAUUCUAUCACAAUUUUGAAAACCUCCAUAGUUUUACUAGCUUUGCCUUUCUCCCUUGCUAUCAUCUUCUGAGGUACAGACAGUCCUUUCCAUUUUUAUUCCUCUCCCACUCUGAUAAUUUUUUUCUUUGACAGAAGUCCCACUUUAUCAUUAAUGAUGACAAUAACUAAGGCUGCCAGGAACAGCACAUCUGCUGAGCUUUAUCAACACCAGAUUCUCUCAUUUUGCCUUCUGGAUCUCCAUGCUUUUUUAUACCAACAAACAAGAGGAAGAAUAUUCUCUACCCACUUCCUUGACUGAAGCCUGCUCUUUUAUGAAGACAUGGCAUCUCUUCCAACCGUGUCAAACAGAUGCAAUUUAUAUGUCUGCUGCUUCCAUACCCUGAUUAAAUGGGUCAGUGGCAGAAUCAGUAUCCUUAGUCUCCCCUUUGGUUUCAAAUAUGUACUCCUUAUUUCAGUUUCAUGCUCACCUUUCUGUAGAGACCAAGGCAUCUGCCUUUGCAGCUUUACCUCUUCCUCCAGGUUAUAGUUUCCAUUCAUGGAAUCUUUUAGCUGCUGGCUGGCAGUUUUCCUGUCUACCUGACUUCCAUUCCUCUUCUCAUGACUUCAGCUCCCAUGCAGAUGUCUUAUCCUGACAUACUAGCUUCUCCAUUCUAUUUCUGUGUGUGUGUGUCUGUGUGUUUCCCUACUAGUUCAUCCACAU
Molecule: long non-coding RNA, 987 nt
Filed under: Homo sapiens (human)
Lineage: Eukaryota; Metazoa; Chordata; Mammalia; Primates; Hominidae
Description: ADGRB3 divergent transcript
Source: RNAcentral